RNAcentral lists this ribosomal RNA (1128 nucleotides) under Vibrio sp. Its description in RNAcentral is "bacterial SSU rRNA". It matches the Rfam family "Bacterial small subunit ribosomal RNA", at positions 57 to 1166 of the family's 1533-position model. Lineage: Bacteria; Pseudomonadati; Pseudomonadota; Gammaproteobacteria; Vibrionales; Vibrionaceae. The record is from RNAcentral.
GCAGUCGAGCGGAACGAGUUAUCUGAACCUUCGGGGAACGAUAACGGCGUCGAGCGGCGGACGGGUGAGUAAUGCCUAGGAAAUUGCCUUGAUGUGGGGGAUAACCAUUGGAAACGAUGGCUAAUACCGCAUGAUGCCUACGGGCCAAAGAGGGGGACCUUCGGGCCUCUCGCGUCAAGAUAUGCCUAGGUGGGAUUAGCUAGUUGGUGAGGUAAUGGCUCACCAAGGCGACGAUCCCUAGCUGGUCUGAGAGGAUGAUCAGCCACACUGGAACUGAGACACGGUCCAGACUCCUACGGGAGGCAGCAGUGGGGAAUAUUGCACAAUGGGCGCAAGCCUGAUGCAGCCAUGCCGCGUGUAUGAAGAAGGCCUUCGGGUUGUAAAGUACUUUCAGCAGUGAGGAAGGGGGUGUCGUUAAUAGCGGCAUCUCUUGACGUUAGCUGCAGAAGAAGCACCGGCUAACUCCGUGCCAGCAGCCGCGGUAAUACGGAGGGUGCGAGCGUUAAUCGGAAUUACUGGGCGUAAAGCGCAUGCAGGUGGUUUGUUAAGUCAGAUGUGAAAGCCCGGGGCUCAACCUCGGAACUGCAUUUGAAACUGGCAAACUAGAGUACUGUAGAGGGGGGUAGAAUUUCAGGUGUAGCGGUGAAAUGCGUAGAGAUCUGAAGGAAUACCAGUGGCGAAGGCGGCCCCCUGGACAGAUACUGACACUCAGAUGCGAAAGCGUGGGGAGCAAACAGGAUUAGAUACCCUGGUAGUCCACGCCGUAAACGAUGUCUACUUGGAGGUUGUGGCCUUGAGCCGUGGCUUUCGGAGCUAACGCGUUAAGUAGACCGCCUGGGGAGUACGGUCGCAAGAUUAAAACUCAAAUGAAUUGACGGGGGCCCGCACAAGCGGUGGAGCAUGUGGUUUAAUUCGAUGCAACGCGAAGAACCUUACCUACUCUUGACAUCCAGAGAACUUAGCAGAGAUGCUUUGGUGCCUUCGGGAACUCUGAGACAGGUGCUGCAUGGCUGUCGUCAGCUCGUGUUGUGAAAUGUUGGGUUAAGUCCCGCAACGAGCGCAACCCUUAUCCUUGUUUGCCAGCGAGUAAUGUCGGGAACUCCAGGGAAACUGCCGGUGAUAAACCGG